UUGUUCGCAAUGGGCGCAAGCCUGACGACGCAACGCCGCGUGGAGGACGAAGAUCUUCGGGUCGUAAACUCCUGUCGAGCGGGAAGAAACCCGCGGGGAUGAAUAAUCCUCGUGGCUGACGGUACCGCUAAAGGAAGCCCCGGCUAACUCCGUGCCAGCAGCCGCGGUAAUACGGAGGGGGCGAGUGUUGUUCGGAAUUACUGGGCGUAAAGGGCGCGCAGGCGGCUUGGCAAGUCGAGUGUGAAAUCCCUUGGCUUAACUGAGGAAUGGCGCUCGAAACUACCUCGCUGGAGGGCGGGAGAGGGAAGUGGAACUCUCGGUGUAGGGGUGAAAUCUGUAGAUAUCGAGAGGAACACCGGUGGCGAAGGCGGCUUCCUGGCCCGUACCUGACGCUGAGGCGCGAAAGCGUGGGGAGCAAAC
This 420-nucleotide ribosomal RNA is filed under the name uncultured bacterium. RNAcentral describes it as "bacterial SSU rRNA". It matches the Rfam family "Bacterial small subunit ribosomal RNA", at positions 362 to 773 of the family's 1533-position model. The record is from RNAcentral.